GGCUCAGGAUGAACGCUAGCUACAGGCUUAACACAUGCAAGUCGUGGGGCAGCGGAUGCUUAGCUUGCUAAGUAUGCCGGCGACCGGCGCACGGGUGAGUAACGCGUACCGAACCUGCCCAUCACACAGGGAUAGGCUUGCGAAAGCAAGAUUAAUAUCUGAUGGUCUCAGUUGUAUGCAUGUAUGAUUGAGUAAAGCCUUCGGGCGGUGAUGGAUGGCGGUGCGUCCCAUUAGGAAGUUGGCGGGGUAACGGCCCACCAAUCCUUCGAUGGGUAGGGGUUCUGAGAGGAAGGUCCCCCACAUUGGAACUGAGAUACGGUCCAAACUCCUACGGGAGGCAGCAGUGAGGAAUAUUGGUCAAUGGGCGAGAGCCUGAACCAGCCAAGUAGCGUGCGGGAUGAAGGCCCUUGUGGUCGUGAACCGCUUUUAUCAGUGAAUAAAGUGCAUCACGUGUGGUGUCAUUGCAGGUAGCUGAAGAAAAAGGACCGGCUAAUUCCGUGCCAGCAGCCGCGGUAAUACGGAAGGUCCGGGCGUUAUCCGGAAUUAUUGGGUUUAAAGGGAGCGCAGGCGGGAGUAUAAGUCAGCUGUUAAAUAUCAGAGCCCAACUCUGUUAUGCAGUUGAAACUAUAUUUCUUGAGUACGCACAGGGAUGGCGGAAUUCAGGGUGUAGCGGUGAAAUGCUUAGAUAUCCUGAAGAACUCCGAUCGCGAAGGCAGCCAUCCGGAGCGUAACUGACGCUGAGGCUCGAAGGUGCGGGUAUCGAACAGGAUUAGAUACCCUGGUAGUCCGCACUGUACACGAUGAAUACUCGCAGUUCGGCCUUUAUGGUCGAGUUGUCCAGCGAAAGCGUUAAGUAUUCCACCUGGGGAGUACGCGGGCAACGGUGAAACUCAAAGGAAUCGACGGGGGCCCCGCUCAAGCGGAGGAACAUGUGGUUUAAUUAGAUGAUACGCGAGAAACCUUAACCGGGCUUGAACCAAGAGUGGCGAGUACAUAGAUACGCUUUUUGUUCGGACACUUUUGGAGGUGAUGCAUGGUGGUCGUCAGCUUGUGCCGUGAGGUGUCGGCUUAAGUGGCAUAACGAGCGCAACCCUUUUCUACGUUUGCCAUCGGGUAAUGCCGGGAACUCCGUGGAUACUGCCGCCGCAAGGCGGAGGAAGGGGGGGACGACGUCAAAUCAGCACGGCCCUUACGUCCGGGGCUACACACGUGUUACAAUGGUCGGAGCAGCAGGAAGCUACCUGGCGACAGGAUGCUGAUCCCAAAACCCGGCCUCAGUUCGGACUGGAGUGUGCAACCCGACUCCACGAAGCCGGAUUCGAUAGUAAUCGCGCAUCAGCCAUGGCGCGGUGAAUACGUUCCCGGGCCUUGUACACACCGCCCGUCAAGCCAUGAAAGCCGGGGGUGCCUGAAAGCCGUGACC
Molecule: ribosomal RNA, 1423 nt
Filed under: uncultured organism
Description: 16S ribosomal RNA
Rfam family: Bacterial small subunit ribosomal RNA
Source: RNAcentral